CGGUCAGUUGAACAUUUUCCAUGCUGUGAUCAAGUUGUCUUUUCCUCUGAGCGCCGAGCGCUGUGAAACGCCUUGGACGAGGAGCAAAAUAAUAAAUACGCAUUCGAAGGAAACUCAAGCCAACAAAAUCUCACGUUGCCCCAAAAGCAAAUAAGCAAACAACAACAACAAAAAUUAAUGGCCGAGCAUCAAGUGCAGUGCGUUUGAAUCUCAACGGCAAACAAUUUGUGAAACGACGGACUGACUUACAUGCAUUUUAUUAGUACAUAAUAUAAAAUAAAAACAAACAAAA
This is a long non-coding RNA of Drosophila navojoa, 292 nucleotides long. The record is from RefSeq and is a predicted model, not a curated record. NCBI's taxonomy places the organism in Eukaryota, Metazoa, Arthropoda, Insecta, Diptera, Drosophilidae.